CCUGCUUCUCAUGCUGAGCUUGUUUGCAUUUCUCUGCCUCCUUCAGUUAAGAUAACGAUAAGCUCUGUUAUCGUGCUGAAGUUAAGCAUCUGAAAGGACACUUAAUCUGUUUCAACUUGAUCGUGUAGCAGCUCUAACUUGGAAAAGCACUGGGCAGUAUUUGAGUACAGGGAACUAUGGCAGCAGAUGAAUCCUCCCCUCUGUGAAGAAGAUGCAAGCAAGUUUUUGGAAAAAGGAGUAGUCUGAAAACAUUUCAGAUGAAAAAGGGGGGUUAUUCAAGACAUUGGCUGGUACCAUCCUUGUUGAAAUCCACUGUGGAUUGAAGAACAGCUGUCUCUGGAGAUAUCCAUCAACAGUUUCAUUCUCAUCAACUAUAUCACUUCAAGAUAUUCCUUGAACUGUUAAGACUCACCCUGAAUAUGAUCAGACUCAUCCCAAUCGGACUCAUCCGUAGCUGAGCUCCAGCGACCCCGAACAGCAGAAGAAAAACAUUCCAAGUGGAAGCUUGGUUUCAUACACGUCAUUUUGGAGCACAGAGAAAGACAUCUGUCUUAGAGGUAAGUCAAUGACAUCUGGUAUUUCUUAUUAGGACAGUCUACAAAUAGCAUAAAUCUUUAACUGAUAGUGUAAGUCUAGUCAAUGGGGCCACUGACACUGCAGGUAAGUUAGGGAUCCUGCCUACAAUUCUGUAUUUUUCUUUCCCACCUGCCCUUCUGGAGGGUCUGGAG
Molecule: long non-coding RNA, 728 nt
Filed under: Calidris pugnax (ruff)
Lineage: Eukaryota; Metazoa; Chordata; Aves; Charadriiformes; Scolopacidae
Description: lncRNA (ENSCPUG00000012604.1)
Source: RNAcentral